CCUACGGGAGGCAGCAGUGAGGAAUAUUGGUCAAUGGACGAGAGUCUGAACCAGCCAAGUAGCGUGAAGGAUGACGGCCCUAUGGUUUGUAAACUUCUUUUAUAAGGGAAUAAAACUAUGCCAGUUUGCCUUUUUGCAUGUACCCUAUGAAUAAGGAUCGGCUAACUCCGUGCCAGCAGCCGCGGUAAUACGGAGGAUCCGAGCGUUAUCCGGAUUUAUUGGGUUUAAAGGGAGCGUAGAGUGGUUGUUAAGUCAGGUGUGAAAUUUUGCGGCUCAACCAUAAAAUUGCCAUUGAUACUGGCAGUCUUGAGUACAGUUGAGGUAGGCGGAAUUCGUGGUGUAGCGGUGAAAUGCAUAGAUAUCACGAAGAACCCCGAUUGCGAAGGCAGCUUACUGAACUGUGACUGACAUUGAGGCACGAAAGUGUGGGUAUCAAACAGGAUUAGAUACCCUUGUAGUC
This 460-nucleotide ribosomal RNA is filed under the name uncultured bacterium. Its description in RNAcentral is "partial 16S ribosomal RNA". It matches the Rfam family "Bacterial small subunit ribosomal RNA", at positions 338 to 795 of the family's 1533-position model. The record is from RNAcentral.